GACGAACGCUGGCGGCGUGCUUAACACAUGCAAGUCGAACGGAAAGGCCCUGCUUUUGUGGGUUGCUCGAGUGGCGAACGGGUGAGUAACACGUGAGUAACCUGCCCUUGACUUUGGGAUAUCUUCAGGAAACUGGGGCUCAUACCGGAUAUGAGCUCCUGCUGCAUGGUGGGGGUUGGAAAGUUUCGGCGGUUGGGGCUGGACUCGCGGCUUAUCAGCUUGUUGGUGGGGUAGUGGCUUACCAAGGGUUUGACGGGUAGCCGGCCUGAGAGGGUGAACGGCGACAAUGGGACUGAGAGACGGCGCAGACGGCUACGGGAGGCAGUAGGGGGGAAUAUUGCACAAUGAGCGGAAGCGUGAGGCAGCAGCGCCGCGUGCGGGAUAACGGCCUUCGGGUGAUAAACAGAUUUCGCCGGAAACGAAGAGUGAGUGACGGUAAUGGGUAAAGAAGCAACGGCUAACUACGUG
RNAcentral lists this ribosomal RNA (468 nucleotides) under uncultured bacterium. Its description in RNAcentral is "partial 16S ribosomal RNA". It matches the Rfam family "Bacterial small subunit ribosomal RNA", at positions 28 to 507 of the family's 1533-position model. The record is from RNAcentral.